This 121-nucleotide ribosomal RNA is filed under the name uncultured bacterium. RNAcentral's name for it is "partial 16S ribosomal RNA". It matches the Rfam family "Bacterial small subunit ribosomal RNA", at positions 355 to 490 of the family's 1533-position model. The record is from RNAcentral.
UGGGGAAUAUUGGGCAAUGGGCGCAAGCCUGACCCAGCAACGCCGCGUGAAGGAAGAAGGCUUUCGGGUUGUAAACUUCUUUUCUCAGGGACGAAGCAAGUGACGGUACCUGAGGAAUAAG